Long non-coding RNA from Bos taurus (domestic cattle), 1882 nucleotides. The record is from Ensembl. Lineage: Eukaryota; Metazoa; Chordata; Mammalia; Artiodactyla; Bovidae.
AGAAGGGUAACUGUUGCUAAAAGCCCUUACAGAUAGAGACCUGGGUAAAGGAGCAAGUGGAGCUCAGCAGAGGGUGUAGGGAGGUAAGUGUGGUUAUGCGUCGGAACAAGCUCUACAACUGAUGCUUUCGAACUGUGAUGCUGGACAAGACUCUUGAGAGUCCCUUGGACAGCAAGGAGACCAAACCAGUCAGUCCUAAAGGAAAUCAACCCUGAACAUUCACUGGAAGGACUGAAGCUGAAGCUCUAAUACUGUUGCCACCUGAUAUGAAGAGCCGGCUCAUUGGAAAAGACCCUAAUGCUGGGAAAGACUGAAGACAGGAGGAGAAUGGGAUGAUACGGCUGGAUGGCAUCAACAACUCAAUGGACAUGAGUUUGAGCAAACUCUGGUAGACAGUGAAAAACAGAGAAGCUUGGUGCAACUGAGCAGCUGAACAACAAAACAUAGCCCCAGUCAGGCUGCAAGAUCCGUCGCUCCUGGUAAGUCAAGUCACUUUCCAAAACACCCUCGCACAGCUGCGCUGAUGGCCAGCUCCACUGGCAGCUGGUGGAGCCAUGACUCACGCUGUCACCACUCCCCCCAAACCUCUCCUGUGAGCACUUUGAAUCAAUGCAACAGGAAUGGACUUUUGCCACAGAUUGGCAUAUGCUGCCAAGAGCAUGCUUCCUCUCUGCUCAGAAAGGAAAACUCUCCAGGUGUUCACACCAACAAGAAACCACAAGAAAAUAUUUUUAUUCUGCUAUAGCCAUGAGGCUGGACACAUUUUCUCCAGGGGGUGCAUUUCUCUCUCAAGAGUUAAUUUGCACUCUGAGGUACCAUCUGUCUGUUCUCCAGCUGACUUUUCAAAGCAUCGCUGCCCCCUAAAUGGUCACCAGCCCUGCCCUGCCAGCCCCCAGGUGAUGCUGAACUCAGAACUCAGUUGUUCUUGUCUGUGAAAUGGAGGAGUAGGAGGGUCUUCAAGUCUCCUUCAAAGAACUACCAUUCCAUGAUCACAUCCUGAACAUGCAGGAAGACUACAUUUCCCAGCCUCCCUUGUGAUUACCACGUGACUGCAUUUCCACCAACAGGAAUGUAAGAAAUCACAUGCUGCUUUUGAGUCAAGGUAAUUAAAAGCAAGUGUAUGGAUGUGAGAGUUGGACUGUGAAGAAAGCUGAGCCCCGAAGAAUCAAUGCUUUUGAACCGUGGUGUUGGAGAAGACUCUUGAGAGUCCCUUGGACUGCAAGGACAUCCAACCAGUCCAUUGUGAAGGAGAUCAGCCCUGGGAUUUCUUUGGAAGGAAUGAUGCUAAAGCUGAAACUCCAGUAUUUUGGCCACCUCAUGCGAAGAGUUGACUCAUUGGAAAAGACUCUGAUGCUGGGAGGGAUUGGGGGCAGGAGGAGAAGGGGACGACAGAGGAUGAGAUGACUGGAUGGCAUCACUGACUCGAUGCACGUGAAUCUGAGUGAACUCUGGGAGUUGGUGAUGGACAGGGAGGCCUGGCGUGCUGCAAUUCAUGGGGGUCGCAAAGAGUCGGACACGAGUGAGCAACUAAACUGAACUGAACUGUGGGUUCUCCAUGCUUCCUCUGUUUCCCAUCCACAUGGCUACAAGAGAUGGCAGAUUUACAGGCUGGAAACCUCCAAGAUCUCUGAAACGCUGUUGGAGAAGGCCUACCAAAAGAGCCCCUGCCUUGCACUGGACUGUUAUAUGGGUGAUAUUAAAUGGUUACUGUGGGAAACCUCUGACUUUCCAGGAUUUCUUUGUCACAACAGCACUGUCUAGUGUUAUCUUGACUAACAUACAAGGUUCUGAGAGAUCUAACGACAGAGAAAGAAGUCAGACUUCAAUUACACUGCUAAUCUUGACUACAUCUUUAAAAAUUAAACAGAUCAUCCUAUAAAAC